CGUAUUUAGUUGCUAACGGUUCGGCCGAGCACUCUAAAUAGACUGCCUUCGUAAGGAGGAGGAAGGUGUGGACGACGUCAAGUCAUCAUGGCCCUUAUGCCCAGGGCGACACACGUGCUACAAUGGCAUAUACAAUGAGACGCAAUACCGCGAGGUGGAGCAAAUCUAUAAAAUAUGUCCCAGUUCGGAUUGUUCUCUGCAACUCGAGAGCAUGAAGCCGGAAUCGCUAGUAAUCGUAGAUCAGCCAUGCUACGGUGAAUACGUUCCCGGGUCUUGUACUCACCGCCCGUCACACCAUGGGAGUUGAUUUCACUCGAAGCCGGAAUACUAAACUAGUUACCGUCCACAGUGGAA
RNAcentral lists this ribosomal RNA (354 nucleotides) under Leptospira borgpetersenii serovar Balcanica. Its description in RNAcentral is "bacterial SSU rRNA". It matches the Rfam family "Bacterial small subunit ribosomal RNA", at positions 1106 to 1467 of the family's 1533-position model. Lineage: Bacteria; Pseudomonadati; Spirochaetota; Leptospiria; Leptospirales; Leptospiraceae. The record is from RNAcentral.